Molecule: long non-coding RNA, 199 nt
Filed under: Elaeis guineensis (African oil palm)
Lineage: Eukaryota; Viridiplantae; Streptophyta; Magnoliopsida; Arecales; Arecaceae
Description: long non-coding RNA (EGUI_LNC080910)
Source: RNAcentral
GGAGAGUGAAAAGGAUUUUAGAGAAAAAAUAAAGAUUUUGGAGAGAUAGACUGUCAGUUUGGAGAAGAGGGUUUGAGGCUAGGGUAAGCUUGAUCCACCCAAAUGAAGAAGAAAAAGAAAAGAGAUUUCGUUCCUAAAAAGACGAUUUGAAGGGAAAAACCAGGUGGGAAGAAGAAUUUUAAGAGAAUUUUUGUGGCUA